This 497-nucleotide ribosomal RNA is filed under the name uncultured bacterium. RNAcentral's name for it is "partial 16S ribosomal RNA". It matches the Rfam family "Bacterial small subunit ribosomal RNA", at positions 28 to 507 of the family's 1533-position model. The record is from RNAcentral.
GAUGAACGCUGGCGGCGUGCCUAAUACGUGCAAGUCGAGCGAACGGACGAGAAGCUUGCUUCUCUGAUGUUAGCGGCGGACGGGUGAGUAACACGUGGAUAACCUACCUAUAAGACUGGGAUAACUUCGGGAAACCGGAGCUAAUACCGGAUGAUAUUUUGAACCGCAUGGUUCAAAAGUGAAAGACGGUCUUGCUGUCACUUAUAGAUGGAUCCGCGCUGCAUUAGCUAGUUGGUAAGGUAACGGCUUACCAAGGCAACGAUGCAUAGCCGACCUGAGAGGGUGAUCGGCCACACUGGAACUGAGACACGGUCCAGACUCCUACGGGAGGCAGCAGUAGGGAAUCUUCCGCAAUGGGCGAAAGCCUGACGGAGCAACGCCGCGUGAGUGAUGAAGGUCUUCGGAUCGUAAAACUCUGUUAUUAGGGAAGAACAUAUGUGUAGGUAACUGUGCACAUCUUGACGGUACCUAAUCAGAAAGCCACGGCUAACUACGUG